This 513-nucleotide ribosomal RNA is filed under the name uncultured bacterium. RNAcentral's name for it is "bacterial SSU rRNA". It matches the Rfam family "Bacterial small subunit ribosomal RNA", at positions 15 to 518 of the family's 1533-position model. The record is from RNAcentral.
GAUCCUGGCUCAGGAUGAACGCUAGCUACAGGCUUAACACAUGCAAGUCGAGGGGCAUCACUGAGGUUGCUGCAACUCUGGUGGCGACCGGCGCACGGGUGAGUAACGCGUAUCCAACCUGGCCCUAGUAGGGGAUAGCCCGGCGAAAGUCGGAUUAAUACCCUAUGUUAUUCGUAGAGGACAUCUGAAAUGAAUCAAAGGCUUGCCACUAAGGGAUGGGGAUGCGUCUGAUUAGGUAGUCGGCGGGGUAACGGCCCACCGAGCCUGCGAUCAGUAGGGGUUCUGAGAGGAAGGUCCCCCACAUUGGAACUGAGACACGGUCCAAACUCCUACGGGAGGCAGCAGUGAGGAAUAUUGGUCAAUGGCCGAGAGGCUGAACCAGCCAAGUAGCGUGCAGGACGAACCGGCCCUAUGGGUUGUAAACUGCUUUUGUGGCGGAGCAAUAAGGUGUACGUGUACACCGAUGAGAGUACGUCACGAAUAAGCAUCGGCUAACUCCGUGCCAGCCGCUGC